AGUGAACGCUGGCGGUAGGCCUAACACAUGCAAGUCGAACGGCAGCACAGUAAUAGCUUGCUCUUACGGGUGGCGAGUGGCGGACGGGUGAGGAAUACAUCGGAAUCUACUUUUUCGUGGGGGAUAACGUAGGGAAACUUACGCUAAUACCGCAUACGACCUACGGGGGAAAGCAUGGGAUCUUCGGACCUUACGCGAUUGAAUGAGCCGAUGUCGGAUUAGCUAGUUGGCGGGGUAAAGGCCCACCAAGGCGACGAUCCGUAGCUGGUCUGAGAGGAUGAUCAGCCACACUGGAACUGAGACACGGCCCAGACUCCUACGGGAGGCAGCAGUGGGGAAUAUUGGACAAUGGGCGAAAGCCUGAUCCAGCCAUGCCGCGUGGGUGAAGAAGGCCUUCGGGUUGUAAAGCCCUUUUGUUGGGAAAGAAAAGCAGCAGGUUAAUACCCCGCUGUUCUGACGGUACCCAAAGAAUAAGCACCGGCUAACUUCGUG
Molecule: ribosomal RNA, 492 nt
Filed under: uncultured bacterium
Lineage: Bacteria
Description: partial 16S ribosomal RNA
Rfam family: Bacterial small subunit ribosomal RNA
Source: RNAcentral